GGCUUAAAUAUAUCUAGAAAAAAAGUUUUUGCUCCUGUGUAAAUAUCAUAAUAAAUUUGCACUGUCCUCUGAUUGGUCACAGCAGAGAGAUUUAAAUAAUAAAUCCCGCAAAAUUGUGCCUCUCUCCCGGCAGCACGAUAAGAAUCCGUCGAGAUCGUCGCAGUUUCGUUCUACGUCGGUCGCGUCCACGAAAUGUAAACACUAUUGGACGCGUACGAAACCGGGUAUGCCGAUUCGGUUUUUGUUGGUCCAUCGCAAGAAGUUAGGUAGUUUAGAUUAGGUUAGGUAGGGUUUUCAAUGUUGUUUUUUUAACCCUUCAUGUUGAAAGUCUAACUCACUUUGGAAGAUUCAUUGUUUUUGUUAGUGUAAGGAAAUUAAGAUCAUAUUUAUUUAUUAGAAAAAAUCCAAAUAAAAACUUGUAAAACUAUCGUUUUGGCCGUGCAGCUAUUUUCCGAAGGUCAUAAAAGUUGAAAAUACAUCAAAAACCAUUGGAACAAGAUUAUUUCAACCUAACCUAACCUAUUUGAGUAAUCAGUUUCUCCACGUGGUACUAAACAAACAAGUGCCUUUAUUAUAAGUGUACGAAGAUGUUAUUUGACCACGAUUCUGGGCCAAAUAACCGUCGGCCAUUUGACCGGGACCUGCGGGGAUCAUAUAGGAUUGUAGUCGGGAUGGUUGGGGGCAUUAAACAAGUCAUUACAUUAUGGUAUUAUUUAAUUGUAUAAUUUCUGUUGACAAAAGGAUUUAGUUUUAUUUUAGAUCUCUGUCAAAUAAGCGGCGGUUAUUGUGCCGAGUACCGGUCAAAUAAUCCCUGCCUAUAAUAUAAUAGUUUUACAGUGUUGUGUAUUAUAUAGCUAUUGGUCACAUUUCCAGGAAGCUUCAAGGACCAACAACACAUCUCGGUACGACAAGUCGAGACUCGACCGUACAGACCCGUCCGGUCUCGCACACGACGCCGUUAACGGCAAACGGAGAAACGCCGCUGGGAGGCACUUUCUCCAACACUGCCUACAGUGGACCUGAUGUGAACUAGAAUGAAGUUGGCUGGACAUGAAAUUUACUGGACCUCAAGUAGUCUGUGGAAGCUUUAAGGACCAACAACACAUCUCGGUACGACAAGUGGAGACUCGACCGUACAGACCCGUCCGGUCUCGCACACGACGCCGUUAACGGCAAACGGAGAAACGCCGCCGCCGACCCGCCGGAGGUACUUUCUCCAUCACUGCCUAAAGUGGACCUGAUGUGAACUAGAAUGAAGUUGGCUGGACCUGCAGUGAAGUGGACCUGAAGCUAACUGGACCUCAAGUAGUCUGUGGUAUUGUAUUUAAUAUUGUUGUGGUACUUUGAAUGUUAGGAAAGUUGUACAGGCAUUCCCCAGUUUGAAAGAGUACUGUGUCUUAUAAAAACCUAUGGUAAAUCGAAUCAAUAUUCCUAUAGACUCACAUUAUAAAAGCCAAGAUACUUUUCUUCAAUGAAAAAGGUUCCCCCCCCAAUUAUGUAGUCUCCAAAAAGUAUUGAUAGAUUUUCUAGCGGUAAAAUUUGAAAUGCUGGGUGAAAGACUUUGAUGUGAUCUCCAGUGCAUCAGCAUAAAUUGGUACAGGUACAUCCGGUCACUAUAUGAGCAACAGCCAUAGACGGCGGGUAGCGAGAGAGGGAGUCAUCCUCGCGUGACAUACAACCGUACAGUAUAUGCUUUACUAUAACAAGAAAUCCAUUAAGCUAUAUUAACGUAUGUAUCGUGCUGGGUAGAAGCAAGGCAUAUGUAAAGAAGCCCCUGACUGAGGAUUACAAUAACAUGGAAAUAUACUUUAAAUGGAAGAGUUUCGGAUCACAACCGAGACGGACCUCGAGGCGAACAUUUCACCGUGUCGUAGUGACGGUUUCAUUCGUACCGAGCUGCAGAAUAUAGUCGUCGACGACACGUAUGAUUUAUGAGAGGUGACCAAGGAAAUAGUAGUUGAUAUUAGAGUGAACAGCUACAGCAAUAUACAGUAUAUUGGUCUAAUUGGGAUCUGCCAAAUAUUAUUGAUUCGUAAAUAGUGUCGGUUUAACGUCACGAUAAGAAUUUAAAUCGGCGCGUCGCCGGUCUUUUCGUGGCGGCUGAUCCAUCGCGAUACCGCGGGUUCGCUCGCCCCGUUGCGUCUUUCCGAUAAUUCCUCGGUUCGUUUGACGUGAGAUCCCAUUAAUGACCGGCACGGCGUCGGCGUCCAUUUACGACACGCAAUCUCAAUUCGCUUGACGUGCGAUCGGAAGCCUCGGAGGAUUCGCAUCUCUCAAAAACAUACGUAUGCUCAUUCGUGCUCAGAGGUGUAGACGUAGAGUUGGCAACAGUUCUGAAACGGGUCGUGUAACAUUGGUCGAAUAGCCUCGAAGCACGUCGACCCCGUGGCUAAAGAUAUUAUUUUGGGGUGACCGUACUCGUCGAUUAUAAGCCAAUACCGUAUAGGAGCUCUUCGACCGACAGACGAGUCGAGCUCCCGAGGCUCGUUCGCGAGUCCGACUUAACUCUUGUAGAUAAUGAUAUACAGUAGAGCUAUACCGUAUAUACCCAGCACAUUCCGGUACAGUCGGUCCCCGACUUACGACGGGGUCAGGGACCGGCGACCGGGUCGCAAGUCGAAAAUGGGAAAAUAAUACUGUACAUAGAUGGGCGUCUCAUUUUCUUCUCGGCACCACGAAACUCUCAAUCUUACGCUUGCCGGCCAUUUUAAAGGGAAUUACAAAUGAAAAUGUUGUCGGUACACAGCGCAAUCACUAAUGUCUGCAUUCAAAAAUACAUAAUUUGACAACAUUAAGACCAAUCCCCACAUGUGAAGGGACCCAUAC
Homarus americanus (American lobster) is the source of this 2826-nucleotide long non-coding RNA. RefSeq lists it as uncharacterized. The record is from RefSeq and is a predicted model, not a curated record. Lineage: Eukaryota; Metazoa; Arthropoda; Malacostraca; Decapoda; Nephropidae. The transcript is spliced from 4 exons.